GGCAUGUAAAAAUACAAUUUUGAUGCUUAUUUAGAAAAUAUGAAUUUAAAUGUUGCUCUCUACAAAAACUCAUGAAGUCCUCUUCAAAUCAAUUUUUUCCUCUGUAUAUGUGUGUAUAUGUAACAUGUGCUUUUUUUUCCUGUAUGUGCCCAGGUGGUUUGAGAAACUUCGCAGUCUGGAAAAGAGAAAGGACUCCAAAGGAAGAGGAACAGAAAUACACUUAUUCGAGAUGGCAGAGGUGCUGCUGUGACCAAGAGCUUCUGGAUGUUUUGAGAGAGCUACCGAAACAGCAUUACAUUACAUUGCACAUGGAACAAAAUCUUCUUGCAGCAACUGCUGGUGACAGUCCUUCAUCAGAGCUCUUUCUAGCUCAGUUUCAGAAUAAAAACUGUGCUGCUAUUCAACCGUCGUUGAGAGAAUACUCAUUAAAAAUGAGAAGCAGGCAAAGACUUGAAUCAACUGUUGUUUUAGUAGGUAUGCAAGUCAAUCAGCUAUACAGUGUAUAGAGUGAAAUUCUUGCAGUGUGUAUAGCCCUAAACUGUUCAUCUAUCCCAAUAACAGCACGUAGUCACUUUACCUCCACCAUUGCUAGUGCGUCACAAAGGACUGCAACUUUUUAUUUUGUGAGAGACAGAAACAUAAGCACAAAACCUUACGAUGACACUGAAGGAUUACUGGGUUAUGGUGAAGAAGGGAAAAACAGCAUCUAAAUCCCAAAGGAAAGCUCUGAGUGCUGAUGUUAUUCACAACCAGAAUUCCUGUAUCUUGGCAAUACUGAUUAGGCAAGACUUUGUGGUAUAGAUGGUAAGGCUAAGAGGCUUCAGAAAGAUAGACACAGCCUUGCUAUCUUGUUGAAUGACAAGCAAGUAGGAACUGGAGUACUACUUUAGCCUCUCCAGACAGUGAAAACCUGGCCAGAUGCCAAAGUGUCUUAAAGGAAAGUUUAUACAGAUACUAACCUCUUAAGUAAAGUUGCUCACUAAUGCCUGUAUUGAUGAGAUGCUUGCUUUUGUCAUCUGGAGUUUUCAAGAAACACGUGUAACGUUGCCUUGCAUGCAAGCCUAGAACUGUUCUGAAAAACUAGGACUUGUCAACAAAUCAGAAGCUGGCCAGAGCAGGACUGCAGUCAUUUAAGAAACCCUGUCUAAUAAGUGUUUUGCAUGUAGGAUGGAAAAGAAAUAGGCUGCAGGCUGAAAAUAGAGGGCAGAGACCCAUGCUUUAAGGCAGAGUAGAAAGUUAGACACAUGCAUGGUUCAUAAUUUUCCAUUGGCUUGCUCUGAAUUGCUUUGCCUCACCAGCUGGGCCAUUAGGAUUGUUCUCAGCAGGUGGUUAAUUUCCUUCCAUGCCCUCUAUCAGUAGUUUUUGUGUCUAUGCCAGGUGGGUCUUUGUGUUCUCUAGGUAGGAGUAACUGAUGCUCUUGCUUUCAUAGCUGAUAGUAGUGCUUCAGAAGCAUGGUUCUGCCUGAGGUAGGAGGGGCUUUUUGAAGAACUAAUCUGAGGAGGUUAGCAAAAUAAAUGCAGGGCAAUCAGUUUAAUUACA
Molecule: long non-coding RNA, 1539 nt
Filed under: Numida meleagris (helmeted guineafowl)
Lineage: Eukaryota; Metazoa; Chordata; Aves; Galliformes; Numididae
Description: lncRNA (ENSNMEG00000021745.1)
Source: RNAcentral